Oryctolagus cuniculus (rabbit) is the source of this 3785-nucleotide long non-coding RNA. Lineage: Eukaryota; Metazoa; Chordata; Mammalia; Lagomorpha; Leporidae. The record is from Ensembl.
CUUUGGUACAGAAUUGUUAUAUUGAAGGGUUGAUAUGAUAAAGAUGCAUAAUCAAUUCCAUUAUUUUUUGACAUUACUAUAAGAGCCAUGCACUAGUCUCCACACAUUUAAGAACUGAAAAUGAAAAUAAUAAAAACACAAAAAUGUAUAGUUUUUUAAAAUUACUAAUCUCUCCCCCACAAACCAUUAUUUGCUAAUGAACUUUCAUAAGUUCAUGUGUUGGGAAGUAUAAUAUAUAGAAACACAUACACACACACACACACACACACACAUAUAUAUAUAAAACAUAAAAUUAAAAAAUUAUUGAAUCAACUGAGAUAAAAGAUAGUCAUUCUUCAAUUAAUUGUAAAAAUAAUGACUCAUCCCAAUAUUAGUGAAAAAGACCUUAGGUAGUCUUUAAUUCAAGAAAUAUAUUCAUAACCAAAGUAUACAAGGGGGCCUUUACAAAGUUCACUGAUAAUUAUUAUUGAGAGACUGAUGCAUGGAUUUCAGAUUUUUUUGCAUGAAAAAUAUGUUAAUUCCAUUUUCCACAAACAUUUUGGAGUCUCCUCAUACAUAUGGCUUCAAUAGAGCAGAAAGAUAUACAAGUGUGGACCAUGCAGUCAGGAUUCCAGCUUGCCACUUCCAUGUUGUCUGGUAUCAAUGAGCUACUAUACACGUUAAUGUCUGUUUUCUCUGCUGCAAAAAGGGGUAUAGUGAUAUAACCCACUGUAUAGAAUUUUUGUAAGGCUUAAUUAAGUUAAUGCAUGUAAAAUGUGAGUACUCAUUGGCAUACAUUAAGCUCAAAUUUAUUAGUUCUGAUAGUUUUAUACAUAUCAAUACUUUAUGCUUAUAUAUUUAAAAACCCAACUAUUUCUGAAUAAAUUUAGUAAUUAACAUCAUGUUAAGGCAUAUAGAGGGAGAGUUUGACAUCACAUACUUGGGGAAACCAUGGUAUAUGAGACUGGGUUAUCUAGCUAGUGAGGGAGCUUAGCUCACUGUAGCAUCCACAUGGCAUUGCAAUUUGUCCUCCUACAUUGGAUGCCAGGUUCAACUUACAGCUUCCAUAAGGAAGCCAGUGCUCAUGUAGGUGAUAGUAUUGCUAAAUCUGAAGAUGCCGUGAACAUCUUUACAACCACUGAAGAUGUGCUUGUGUUAUAUCAAAAGUAUUGGCUGCUAAUUUUAUUGUUAUUUUGCAAACCAAUAAAAUUCAAGUUAAAUAGUCUAUACCUUAUGGUUAUGCUGCACUGGUGGUGGAUUAAACAUUCUAACAGAAGUAGUUCUGAUUGUGGUUGCAGAAGCAAAUCCCCAGGAGGACAGCUAAGAACUUCAGGAAUGGUGACACCGUUCAGCAAGCAGUCCCCAGGACCCUCUGUAAUUUCAUUGUGGAAAAAUGCUACACAUUCAAGUUUUUCAAGACCCUCGGUCAACCAGAGAAUGCAAGGUGAGGGAUUUGGCUUCAGAGCAAGUUGGUCCCUCAGUUUCUUUGGGGUGGCAUUCGUGCAGCUCUUCAAUCUGACGUUUACUCAUUCCUCCAGUGCUGCCCACCACCAUUCACUGCCAACAUUAUCAUCCCCUGGAACACUGCAGACAAUAUGCUGAACUAUCCCUAGACUAAUUAAAUGACAUUAUCUGGAGACAGAGCAGAGAUGUUUCUAUUUUUAAAAAACCCACAUGAUGUUUGAAUAUCAGUCAUGGUUGUGCCCAUGUGCUAUGAGAAUCUUAUGUUCCAACUAACUUAGUCUGUCUUUUCUGUUUUUUUUUUUAAUUUAUUUAUUUAUAUGAAAGGUAGAGUUAGAGAGUUAGAGAAAGAGGGAGAGAGGGAGAGAGGAAGAAGGAGGGAGGAGGAUAAAUGGAGGGAGGGAGGGAGAGAGAAAGAGAGACAGAGACAGAGAGAGAAAUGUUCCAUCUACUGGUUCAUUGCCCCAAAUGGCCUCAAUGACUGGGGCUGGGCCAUACCCAGCCAGGAUCCUAGAGUUUCAUCUGGGUCUCCCACGGAAGUGCAGGGACUCAGUCACUUGGGGGCAUCUUCCAUGGCUUUCUCGGGCACUUUAGGGUGGAGCUGGAUCACAGGUGGAGCAGUCAGGACUCAAACCAAUGCCCAUAUAGGAUGUCAGUGUUGCAGGAGGCAUCUUAACCUGCUGUGCCACACUGGCCCCUAAUCUGGUCUGUUUUUAAUUCAAUUCAAUUCCAAAUUUGGGUCACUCAUUGGGCAUCUGGCAUAUUGAUGGUUGCUGGAGAUGAUAAGUGAGACAAGAUAAGUAUCUCAUGAUUUGGUAAGACACAUUAAGACAUGAGACUACAUGAACUCCAUCUGAUAAGUAUUAUGUUGUGAGUAAUUAGGUAAUGAGAAGGAGGUCGAUCAAACCUACUUAGGUGUAUUUGAGGAACUGGAAUGGGGAAGCCCUCACCCUUGAAAUGAGGCUCUAGAAAGAGUAUAGAAGAUUGGUAUAGAUUGAGUUGAUUCUUAGAGAAUCAAGAGGACUUAACCAAAGGAAGGAGCAUGACAGCACCUGAAACCUUCAGUCACAGUGAAUAGUUUAACUAGAAAACUGGCUGAAUUUGGGGAAUCAUUAGAGAAGACAGAGAAGAAAAGUGGGAACCCACUGUGCAGGGUUUUGAAUAUCCAUGAGAAUCCAACCCCAAGGCUAUGGUUCUGAAGAUACAAGAAUGAUUAGCAGUCAGGAUAGAUUUUAGAGAUGCUCUUGGUUCCAAGAGUGAGUCAGAUAUGAAGUGGGAAAAGGAAGCAUUGCAGUCAGAGAGAACCACACAAGAGGCUUGAAAAUGCCUGGUGAUUCUGAAGGACCAUGGUAGCCCAGCACUGCUGGAAUGUGUGCUAGAGAUGGGUGGAGAUGGAGAUAAAGUUGGGAGAUUAUUGUAUACUCUAUUCACAAGUUAGGGUUUUAUAUUGGAAUUAACAAAGGAAUAUGAGGAUUGGAGGUUAGGAUUGACAUGGUUCAUUUCUGACUUAUACUUCCUCAUUUUGUUGGUAUUGCAAGAAAUGUGAUUGAUACAAAGGGGAAAGUUUAGUUGAAAACUAAAAGAUCAGAUACUAAGAAUGUUGAACUGGGCCAGGUAAUAGAAUCUCUGGUCUAAGGCUGCCGGGAUUUGUCAAAAACAGGGCCCUGUGGAUAUGUUUUUUCCUUUCUUGUUUUUUGAUGUAAGGGAGGAGACACCUUUGAGAGUCUGGGUUGUUCAGGUGGAACAGUGGACGGUAGAAAACAUGCGUUUAAAACACAGAAGACUACUCUCGAUUGCACAGCUUGUUAGAGGUUAGGUAAAGCCAUGUAAAUGGUCAGAAACAAACUGACUCUUGGGGAAGGUCAACAUUUGGAGAUAUGUGCAAGAAAGAAGCUGAGGGAGAUUAACAAAGAAAUCAAGCAGGAUGAGUAUUUCUGAGGUCUAGACUCUUACUAGAUUCUAAAGAGAAGAUAACUUCAGGAGGAAAUGAUGUUCAAGAGUUUCAAAUACUGGGGUGAGUGUUUGGCCUAGCAGUUGAGCCACUGCCUUGGGGUGCUAGCAUCCCACAUUGAGUGCCUCAUUGAGAAUCCCAGCUCUGCUUCUAAUUCCAGAUUUCUGCACAUCCAGGGAUGCAGCAGGCAAUGGAUUCAGUAGUUGGUUCCUUGCCAUACCCAUGGGAGACGUGGAUUGAAUUCCUAGAUCCUGGCUUUGGCCUAGCCUAGCCCUGUCUGUUGUGGGCAUUUGAUGACUAAAUCAGUAGAUGGGGGAAUUCUGUGUCUCUCCACCCAUUUAUCUCUGUCUCUCUGCCUUUCAAAUGAAUAAAAUAAAUUAUGCCAAAUGCUGCA